Molecule: ribosomal RNA, 437 nt
Filed under: Wolbachia endosymbiont of Drosophila paulistorum
Lineage: Bacteria; Pseudomonadati; Pseudomonadota; Alphaproteobacteria; Rickettsiales; Anaplasmataceae
Description: bacterial SSU rRNA
Rfam family: Bacterial small subunit ribosomal RNA
Source: RNAcentral
UGGGGAAUAUUGGACAAUGGGCGAAAGCCUGAUCCAGCCAUGCCGCAUGAGUGAAGAAGGCCUUUGGGUUGUAAAGCUCUUUUAGUGAGGAAGAUAAUGACGGUACUCACAGAAGAAGUCCUGGCUAACUCCGUGCCAGCAGCCGCGGUAAUACGGAGAGGGCUAGCGUUAUUCGGAAUUAUUGGGCGUAAAGGGCGCGUAGGCGGAUUAGUAAGUUAAAAGUGAAAUCCCAAGGCUCAACCUUGGAAUUGCUUUUAAAACUGCUAAUCUAGAGAUGAAAGAGGAUAGAGGAAUUCCUAGUGUAGAGGUGAAAUUCGUAAAUAUUAGGAGGAACACCAGUGGCGAAGGCGUCUAUCUGGUUCAAAUCUGACGCUGAGGCGCGAAGGCGUGGGGGAGCAAACAGGAUUAGAUACCCUGGUAGUCCACGCUGUAAACGA